AGUUGAGUAAGCUAAAUAAGCUUUCGGGCCCAUACCCCGAACAUGUUGGUUAAACCCCCUCCUCCACUA
RNAcentral lists this transfer RNA (69 nucleotides) under Dussumieria elopsoides (slender rainbow sardine). RNAcentral's name for it is "tRNA-Met". The record is from RNAcentral. Lineage: Eukaryota; Metazoa; Chordata; Actinopteri; Clupeiformes; Dussumieriidae.